GUGCAUGGCUCUGCAGACAGGGGCGCAGAUAGAUCCGGCCGUUCUUGAGCGAACCUUCGAUCGGAUCGUCAUGCACGGUCGUGCGUCCGCUC
Molecule: small RNA, 92 nt
Filed under: Sinorhizobium meliloti 2011
Lineage: Bacteria; Pseudomonadati; Pseudomonadota; Alphaproteobacteria; Hyphomicrobiales; Rhizobiaceae
Description: putative ncRNA
Source: RNAcentral